RNAcentral lists this unclassified non-coding RNA (828 nucleotides) under Hevea brasiliensis (rubber tree). Lineage: Eukaryota; Viridiplantae; Streptophyta; Magnoliopsida; Malpighiales; Euphorbiaceae. The record is from RNAcentral.
GUCAUGUUUGAAAAAUUGGGUGGUAAGAGUGACAUUCAUUUUUCAGGUUUCACAAUUAUUUUAAUUUUUUGAUUGCGAAUAUUAAAAUACCAAUAAAUUCAUACUUGAAUCUUCUUGCCUGGUUUUAAGUUCAAAUUGAUGUGAUUGGACUGAAAAUUAUUAAUUUGGGUCAGUUUAGUAUAAGUUACUACUAUUUGUUUUAGGUAAAAAAAUCACUGGAAUGUUGAUGCCGGAUAUCAUUUGCAUGUGGCAGAAUAGUCAAGAUUGUUGUUAUGAUAAGUAAAGAAGUAUGCAAUUUAAAAGAUAGGCCUUUAAUGGUGGGUUUUUAUUUUUCAGUUUGAAAUCUCCAUAUAUAAAUAGGGAUGUUGGCCUUGUAUUACACCAUAUGAAAAUAUUAUUCAUAUUCAAAUUUGUAUGAACUUUGAUAAAGGAUAUUAAUUAAUAAGGGUACUUCGUUGUGACUGGAAGGUUGUGAGUUUGAGUCAUGGAAAUUGCCAAAAGGUAGAAGUAAGGCUGCAUAGUGUAAACGACUCUCACUUGACCUUCAGAAAGCAGGGGUCUUGCGCACUGGGUAUGUUCUUUUUGCUUUUUCCAGACCUUGCACAAAAACACGUGAAAGGGAAACCUUCUUUCGAUGACUUGCAAUUUUUUUUUUGAUGCUUCAAUUUUAUCUCUUCAAACAACAUUUGAGUAUGUGUUUUAUGGAUAUAAUAUUGUAACAUUUUAAAUUUUGACAUAUGUAAGGCCUAUUUGUGCAUAUAUUCUUUUUUACAGUAAUUUUAACUUGGUAACUUGAUUAUUUCAGGUUAAUGCUUUUAGAGAACGGAG